UCAGGACGAACGCUGGCGGCGUGCUUAACACAUGCAAGUCGAACGGAAAGGCCCUGCUUUGUGGGGUGCUCGAGUGGCGAACGGGUGAGUAACACGUGAGUAACCUGCCCUUGACUUUGGGAUAACUUCAGGAAACUGGGGCUAAUACCGGAUAGGAGCUCCUGCUGCAUGGUGGGGGUUGGAAAGUUUCGGCGGUUGGGGAUGGACUCGCGGCUUAUCAGCUUGUUGGUGGGGUAGUGGCUUACCAAGGCUUUGACGGGUAGCCGGCCUGAGAGGGUGACCGGCCACAUUGGGACUGAGAUACGGCCCAGACUCCUACGGGAGGCAGCAGUGGGGAAUAUUGCACAAUGGGCGGAAGCCUGAUGCCAGCAACGCCGCGUGCGGGAUGACGGCCUUCGGGUUGUAAACCGCUUUCGCCUGUGACGAAGCGUGAGUGACGGUAAUGGGUAAAGAAGCACCGGCUAACUACGUGCCAGCCGCCGC
Molecule: ribosomal RNA, 483 nt
Filed under: uncultured bacterium
Lineage: Bacteria
Description: bacterial SSU rRNA
Rfam family: Bacterial small subunit ribosomal RNA
Source: RNAcentral